This 497-nucleotide ribosomal RNA is filed under the name uncultured bacterium. RNAcentral's name for it is "partial 16S ribosomal RNA". It matches the Rfam family "Bacterial small subunit ribosomal RNA", at positions 28 to 507 of the family's 1533-position model. The record is from RNAcentral.
GAUGAACGCUGGCGGCGUGCCUAAUACAUGCAAGUCGAGCGAACGGACGAGAAGCUUGCUUCUCUGAUGUUAGCGGCGGACGGGUGAGUAACACGUGGAUAACCUACCUAUAAGACUGGGAUACCUUCGGGAAACCGGAGCUAAUACAGGCUAAUAUUUUGAACCGCAUGGUUCAAAAGUGAAAGCCGGUCUUGCUGUCACUUAUAGAUGGAUCCGCGCUGCAUUAGCUAGUUGGUAAGGUAACGGCUUACCAAGGCAACGAUGCAUAGCCGACCUGAGAGGGUGAUCAGCCACACUGGAACUGAGACACGGUCCAGACUCCUACGGGAGGCAGCAGUAGGGAAUCUUCCGCAAUGGGCGAAAGCCUGACGGAGCAACGCCGCGUGAGUGAUGAAGGUCUUCGGAUCGUAAAGCUCUGUUAUUAGGGAAGAAAACAUGUGUAAUUAACUGUGCACAGCUUGACGGUACCGAAACAGAAAGCCACGGCUAACUACGUG